Molecule: non-coding RNA, 739 nt
Organism: Paramuricea clavata
Lineage: Eukaryota; Metazoa; Cnidaria; Anthozoa; Malacalcyonacea; Plexauridae
Source: the annotation of a GenBank genome assembly
GUUAAGGCUUUCUCUCGAUUGCCCGUUUGGGAAAGUACGGCAGUCCAAAUUGUGGUAUUUUUUUAAUAAUCAGUGUGUGAGUAGAUGGAAAACACAAUGCCUAAAUUUAAUUAUGAUUUAUUUAAAAGAUUCAUGAUCAAUACCUGACGAAAUAUGGAGUUUUGACACAUUCAACGGGGUGACGUCAUAAUGUUGAUAAAAAAAUCAUAUUCAACGUCAUGGCGUCAUAAUGUUGAUAUCAACGUUAUGACGUCAUGCUGUGGAAAUACAAAUACGAAAUGUGGAAACACGACUAAAACAUUUGUUUCAUAAAAUGAUUUCCCUUAGAGCACUUAAUUAUUUUGACAAUUUUAAAAAAUUCUGUUGGGCCAAAAUAUUUUAAAAUUAAGUAAUUGUGAUUAUUCGUAAAAUAUAUUUUCAGUUGGCUCGACCGAAUUUGUUUUAAAUUGUCAAAUUAAAUUAGUAUACUAAGAGAAGUCAUUUUACGAAAUAACACCUAGUGGUGUCUAGCACCCGCGAGAAAAGUCCAACACCAACCUAAAAAUCUGCUUAACCAUACAUUUUAUGUUAUCCGAAUAGCGAUUAGGGAACUGCUGCUGUUAGCGCGUGUCGAUUUCUUGGAACGAUUUAAUUGAUUUGUGAGCUCACACGAUGCUUUAGUUAAAUAUCACAGUUACAUGUAAACUGUACUUUAAUUAACAAGUAAAUUUACUGUGCUGUGCUGUGCUGUGCUGUGCUG